AGAGUUUGAACCUGGCUCAGGAUGAACGCUAGCGGCAGGCCUAACACAUGCAAGUCGAACGGUAACAGGGCCUUCGGGCUAGAUGCUGACGAGUGGCGCACGGGUGCGUAACGCGUAUGCAAUCUACCUCUAUCUGAAGGAUAGCCCAGAGAAAUUUGGAUUAAUACUUCAUAACAUCACGUAUUCGCAUGAAUGUGUGAUUAAAACUCCGGUGGAUAGAGAUGAGCAUGCGUCCUAUUAGCUUGUUGGUGAGGUAAUGGCUCACCAAGGCUACGAUAGGUAGGGGGCCUGAGAGGGUGAUCCCCCACACUGGUACUGAGACACGGACCAGACUCCUACGGGAGGCAGCAGUGAGGAAUAUUGGACAAUGGGCGCAAGCCUGAUCCAGCCAUGCCGCGUGCAGGAUGACGGCCCUAUGGGUUGUAAACUGCUUUUAUACGGGAAUAAACCUCUCUACGUGUAGAGAGCUGAAGGUACCGUAAGAAUAAGGACCGGCUAACUCCGUGCCAGCAGCCGCGGUAAUACGGAGGGUCCAAGCGUUAUCCGGAUUUAUUGGGUUUAAAGGGUCCGCAGGCGGGAUAUUAAGUCAGUGGUGAAAGCCUACAGCUUAACUGUAGCACUGCCAUUGAUACUGGUAUUCUUGAGUAUGGUUGAAGUGGGCGGAAUAUGUCAUGUAGCGGUGAAAUGCAUAGAUAUGACACAGAACACCGAUUGCGAAGGCAGCUCACUAGCCUAAUAUUGACGCUGAGGCACGAAAGCGUGGGUAGCGAACAGGAUUAGAUACCCUGGUAGUCCACGCCGUAAACGAUGAUCACUCGACAUUGGCAAUACACCGUCAGUGUCCAAGCGAAAGUGUUAAGUGAUCCACCUGGGGAGUACGAUCGCAAGGUUGAAACUCAAAGGAAUUGACGGGGGCCCGCACAAGCGGUGGAGCAUGUGGUUUAAUUCGAUGAUACGCGAGGAACCUUACCAGGACUUAAAUGUUUUCUGACAGGCUGGGAAACCAGUUUUUCUUCGGACAGAUUACAAGGUGCUGCAUGGUUGUCGUCAGCUCGUGCCGUGAGGUGUCGGGUUAAGUCCCAUAACGAGCGCAACCCCUAUUCUUAGUUGCUACCAGGUAAUGCUGAGGACUCUAAGGAAACUGCCCGCGCAAGCGGUGAGGAAGGUGGGGACGAUGUCAAGUCAUCACGGCCCUUACGUCCUGGGCUACACACGUGCUACAAUGGCGAGUACAAAGGGCUGCUACCUGGUGACAGGAUGCAAAUCUCUAAAACUCGUCUCAGUUCGGAUUGAAGUCUGCAACUCGACUUCAUGAAGCUGGAAUCGCUAGUAAUCGUAUAUCAGCCAUGAUACGGUGAAUACGUUCCCGGGCCUUGUACACACCGCCCGUCAAGCCAUGGAAGCCGGGGGUGCCUGAAGUCGGUCACCGCAAGGAGCCGCCUAGGGCAAAACUGGUAACUGGGGCUAAGUCGUAACAAGGUAACC
This 1485-nucleotide ribosomal RNA is filed under the name uncultured prokaryote. RNAcentral's name for it is "partial 16S ribosomal RNA". It matches the Rfam family "Bacterial small subunit ribosomal RNA". The record is from RNAcentral.